RNAcentral lists this ribosomal RNA (446 nucleotides) under uncultured bacterium. RNAcentral describes it as "partial 16S ribosomal RNA". It matches the Rfam family "Bacterial small subunit ribosomal RNA", at positions 338 to 795 of the family's 1533-position model. The record is from RNAcentral.
CCUACGGGAGGCAGCAGUCGAGAAUCAUUCACAAUGGGGGAAACCCUGAUGGUGCGACGCCGCGUGGGGGAAUGAAGGUCUUCGGAUUGUAAACCCCUGUCAUGUGGGAGCAAAUUAAAAAGAUAGUACCAUAAGAGGAAGAGACGGCUAAAUCUGUGCCAGCAACCGCGGUAAUACAGAGGUCUCAAGCGUUGUUCGGAAUCACUGGGCGUAAAGCGUGCGUAGGCUGUUUCGUAAGUCGUGUGUGAAAGGGGCGGGCUCAACCCGCGGACGGCACAUGAUACUGGGAGACUAGAGUAAUGGAGGGGGAACCGGAAUGCUCGGUGUAGCAGUGAAAUGCGUAGAUAUCGAGAAGAACACUCGUGGCGAAGGCGGGUUCCUGGACAUUAACUGACGCUGAGGCACGAAGGCCAGGGGAGCGAAAGGGAUUAGAUACCCUAGUAGUC